UUUUAGCCCCGAUUGAGCAAUUGUUGGAGCUCUUUUAUUUGUCUUUUUGUUUGAACUGACAAAUAAAAAGCGACUUGCGAAAGCGGGAAAGAGC
Molecule: unclassified non-coding RNA, 94 nt
Filed under: Flavobacterium haoranii
Lineage: Bacteria; Pseudomonadati; Bacteroidota; Flavobacteriia; Flavobacteriales; Flavobacteriaceae
Description: Flavo-1 RNA
Source: RNAcentral